GUUUGAUCCUGGCUCAGAACGAACGCUGGCAGCGUGCCUAACACAUGCAAGUCGAGCGCGAAUAGGGGCAACCCUUAGUAGAGCGGCGCACGGGUGCGUAACACGUGGGUAAUCUGCCCUGAAGCCUGGGAUAACCAGCCGAAAGGUUGGCUAAUACCGGAUAAGACCUCGGACUCCUCGGAGUCUGCGGGAAAAGGUGGCCUCUGUAUACAAGCUAUCGCUUCUGGAUGAGCCCGCGGCCCAUCAGCUAGUUGGCGGGGUAAUGGCCCACCAAGGCAACGACGGGUAGCUGGUCUGAGAGGACGAUCAGCCACACUGGAACUGAGACACGGUCCAGACUCCUACGGGAGGCAGCAGUGGGGAAUUUUGCGCAAUGGGCGAAAGCCUGACGCAGCAACGCCGCGUGUGUGAUGAAGGUCUUCGGAUUGUAAAGCACUUUCGGCCGGGACGAAAACCCUGAGGCUAACAUCCUCAGGCUUGACGGUACCGGAAGAAGAAGCACCGGCUAACUCUGUGCCAGCAGCCGCGGUAAUACAGAGGGUGCAAGCGUUGUUCGGAAUUAUUGGGCGUAAAGCGCGUGUAGGCGGCUUUGCAAGUCGGGUGUGAAAGCCCUCGGCUCAACCGAGGAAGUGCGCCCGAAACUGCAGAGCUUGAGUACCGGAGAGGAUGGCGGAAUUCCCCAAGUAGAGGUGAAAUUCGUAGAUAUGGGGAGGAACACCGGUGGCGAAGGCGGCCAUCUGGACGGAUACUGACGCUGAGACGCGAAAGCGUGGGUAGCAAACAGGAUUAGAUACCCUGGUAGUCCACGCCGUAAACGAUGAGAACUAGGUGUCGUGGGUGUUGACCCCCGCGGUGCCGUAGCUAACGCAUUAAGUUCUCCGCCUGGGAAGUACGGUCGCAAGACUAAAACUCAAAGGAAUUGACGG
This 926-nucleotide ribosomal RNA is filed under the name uncultured bacterium. RNAcentral describes it as "bacterial SSU rRNA". It matches the Rfam family "Bacterial small subunit ribosomal RNA", at positions 11 to 916 of the family's 1533-position model. The record is from RNAcentral.